CGCUAAGGCGUUGAAGCAGUGUAUGUCAGACUUCCAAGAAAAGCUCGCAAUGUCACAAAUAAGAAAUGCCUGUACCAUAACCGACACAGGUGGGUAGGUAGAGUAUACUAAGGGGCGCGAGAUAACUCUCUCUAAGGAACUCGGCAAAAUGACUCCGUAACUUCGGGAGAAGGAGUGCCUUAUUUAUAAGGUUGCAAUAACAAGAUCCAAGCAACUGUUUAUCAAAAACACAGGUCUCCGCUAAGUCGUAAGACGAUGUAUGGGGGCUGACGCCUGCCCAGUGCCAGAAGGUUAAAGAAGUUGGUUAGUGUAUGCGAAGCUGAUGACUGAAGCCCUGGUGAACGGCGGCCGUAACGAUAACGGUCCUAAGGUAGCGAAAUUCCUUGUCGGGUAAGUUCCGACCCGCACGAAAGGCGUAAUGAUUUGGAUACUGUCUCGGAGAGAGGCUCGGUGAAAUAGACUUGUCUGUGAAGAUGCGGACUACCUGCACCAGGACAGAAAGACCCUAUGAAGCUUUACUGUAACUUGAAAUUGGAAUUGGACUUUGCUUGCGCAGUAUAGGUGGGAAGCGUUGAAAAUAUUCUUGCGGGAGUAUUGGAGCUAUCAGUGAGAUACCACUCUUGUAAUGUUAGAUUUCUAACUUUGAACCAUAAUCUGGUCAAAGAACAGUUUCAGGUGGGCAGUUUGACUGGGGCGGUCGCCUCCCAAAUGGUAACGGAGGCGUACAAAGGUUUCCUCUGAACGGAUAGAAAUCGUAUCUAGAGUGUAAAGGCAUAAGGAAGCUUGACUGUGAGACCUACAAGUCGAGCAGGGACGAAAGUCGGUCUUAGUGAUCUGACGGUACUGAGUGGAAAGGCCGUCACUCAACGGAUAAAAGUUACUCUAGGAUAACAGGCUGAUCUCCCCCAAGAGUUCACAUCGACGGGGAGGUUUGGCACCUCGAUGUCGGCUCAUCGCAUCCUGGGGCGGUAGUACGUCCCAAGGGUUGGGCUGUUCGCCCAUGAAAGCGGUACGCGAGCUGGGUUCAGAACGUCGUGAGACAGUUCGGUCCAUAUCCGGUGUAGGCGCUAGAAUAUUGAGAGGAGCCUUCUUUAGUACGAGAGGACCGAGAAGGACACACCGCUGGUGUACCAGUUAUCGUGCCAACGGUAAACGCUGGGUAGCUAUGUGUGGAGUGGAUAACCGCUGAAAGCAUCUAAGUGGGAAGCCCACCUCGAGAUGAG
RNAcentral lists this ribosomal RNA (1223 nucleotides) under metagenome. RNAcentral describes it as "bacterial LSU rRNA". It matches the Rfam family "Bacterial large subunit ribosomal RNA", at positions 1575 to 2808 of the family's 2925-position model. The record is from RNAcentral.